AGAGUUUGAUCCUGGCUCAGAUUGAACGCUGGCGGCAUGCCUUACACAUGCAAGUCGAACGGCAGCACGGGGGCAACCCUGGUGGCGAGUGGCGAACGGGUGAGUAACAUAUCGGAACAUACCCUAGAGUGGGGGAUAACGUAGCGAAAGUUACGCUAAUACCGCAUACGAUCUAAGGAUGAAAUGGGGGGAUCUUCGGACCUCAUGCUCAUGGAGUGGCCGAUAUCUGAUUAGCUAGUUGGUGAGGUAAAGGCUCACCAAGGCGACGAUCAGUAGCUGGUUUGAGAGAACGACCAGCCACACUGGAACUGAGACACGGUCCAGACUCCUACGGGAGGCAGCAGUGGGGAAUUUUGGACAAUGGGGGCAACCCUGAUCCAGCAAUGCCGCGUGAGUGAAGAAGGCCUUCGGGUUGUAAAGCUCUUUUGUCAGGGAAGAAACGGUGAGUUCUAAUACAGCUUGCUAAUGACGGUACCUGAAGAAUAAGCACCGGCUAACUACGUG
This 504-nucleotide ribosomal RNA is filed under the name uncultured bacterium. RNAcentral's name for it is "bacterial SSU rRNA". It matches the Rfam family "Bacterial small subunit ribosomal RNA", at positions 8 to 507 of the family's 1533-position model. The record is from RNAcentral.